AUUGAACGCUGGCGGCAUGCCUUACACAUGCAAGUCGAACGGCAGCACGGGUGCUUGCACCUGGUGGCGAGUGGCGAACGGGUGAGUAAUACAUCGGAACGUACCUUAUCGUGGGGGAUAACGCAGCGAAAGCUGUGCUAAUACCGCAUACGCCCUGAGGGGGAAAGCGGGGGAUCGCAAGACCUCGCGCGAUUAGAGCGGCCGAUGCCUGAUUAGCUUGUUGGUGGGGUAAAAGCCCACCAAGGCGACGAUCAGUAGCUGGUCUGAGAGGACGAUCAGCCACCGUGGGACUGGGACACGGCCCAGACUCCUACGGGAGGCAGCAGUGGGGAAUUUUGGACAAUGGGGGCAACCCUGAUCCAGAAAUGCCGCGUGAGUGAAGAAGGCCUUCGGGUUGUAAAGCUCUUUUGUCAGGGAAGAAACACCGGCUCUAACACAGUCCGGGAAUGACGGUACCUGAAGAAUAAGCACCGGCUAACUACGUGCCAGCCGCCGCCGUAA
RNAcentral lists this ribosomal RNA (501 nucleotides) under uncultured bacterium. RNAcentral's name for it is "partial 16S ribosomal RNA". It matches the Rfam family "Bacterial small subunit ribosomal RNA", at positions 29 to 523 of the family's 1533-position model. The record is from RNAcentral.